UGUAUUCACUACUGUAAGUCGCUCUGGAUAAGAGUGUCUGCUAAAAUGUAAUAAU
Non-coding RNA from Salmo salar (Atlantic salmon), 55 nucleotides. Lineage: Eukaryota; Metazoa; Chordata; Actinopteri; Salmoniformes; Salmonidae. The record is from Rfam.